UUCAAUAAAACAAAAAUAAUCUCUGUGGAACAGAGUAUUUCCUGCCUUCUACUCUACCUAUUCCAAUAAACAAAACUAAAAGUUGUAAAUCUAAGGAUUAAAAUUGAAGAGCUGAAAGGGACCAUGGGGAUCUUGUCAGUUUAGGGAGAGGACCUCUUGGAGCAUUAGCAAAGUCAGGAAGGGAAGCCAGCCUUCUGUGGCACAAGAUGUCUUUUGUACACUUUACCACACUAUCUUUCUGGCAGAGGAAGUCUUUUUCUGUAGGUCAUCUUUAAUAUAUCAUUCUUCCUCAUAAAUUUGCUGUUUUAAUCACCACCAUUUCCUUUGUUAGAUAUUAGUUUGGGUUAGGGGGAUAAAAUUGACAUUUGAUUUGUUUUUUUCCCCUUCAAAGAUAUUUAUCUUGUUUUCUCAUUCAGCAUUUUUUAAUGUCAACAGUUAUUAAGGAGUUUAUAAAAGGCGGUGCAGAUUGAGGAGGGGAAGAUUGAGCAAGUGCUAUCACUUGUGAAGGUGCUCUGUCUGUCUACUUAGUAUCCUUUUAAACCUGACAAGGGUUAACGAACUCCUGCUGAAGUCUAUCCACAGUUGCACAUGGGUAUUGGGUACUUAAAAAAUAAGUUUAAGUCAGUGUAUAAAUCUCUUGAAACAGUAUGCCACCUAGUUUGUCUAUAGCAGAGUAUGAGAGUCAGGCCACAGCACUGUGUGACAUCAACUUGAUCCUUUCUUCACAAAGUAGAAGUAACACAUGUUCUCCAUUGGCAGAGAUAGGCUAGGAAAUUCAAGUUCAAGGCCCUGGCAGAUACAGUGUCUGGAAGCAGUAUUUUAGGAGUCAUUUCCUCUGAUCUGAAAUAACAGAAGGAAUAUCAAAUCUGCAUGUAACUAUCUCUGAAUGUUUUGAAAAAUAUUUUAUAAAUAAGACUGACAAUUUCAAGAGUUAAUAAAAAUUA
Molecule: long non-coding RNA, 944 nt
Organism: Molossus molossus (Pallas's mastiff bat)
Lineage: Eukaryota; Metazoa; Chordata; Mammalia; Chiroptera; Molossidae
Exons: 4
Source: RefSeq, a predicted model, not a curated record